This 497-nucleotide ribosomal RNA is filed under the name uncultured bacterium. Its description in RNAcentral is "partial 16S ribosomal RNA". It matches the Rfam family "Bacterial small subunit ribosomal RNA", at positions 28 to 507 of the family's 1533-position model. The record is from RNAcentral.
GAUGAACGCUGGCGGCGUGCCUAAUACAUGCAAGUCGAGCGAACGGACGAGAAGCUUGCUUCUCUGAUGUUAGCGGCGGACGGGUGAGUAACACGUGUAUAACCUACCUAUAAGACUGGGAUAACUUCGGGAAACCGUAGCUAAUACCGGAUAAUAUUUUGAACCGCAGGGUUCAAAAGUGAAAUACGGUCUUGCGGUCACGUAUAGAUGGAUCCGGGCUGCAUUAGAUAGUUGUUAAGGUAACGGCUUACCAAGGCAACGAUGCAUAGCCGACCUGAGAGGGUGAUAGGCGACACUGGAACUGGACCACGGUCCAGACUACUACGGGAGGCAGCAGUAGGGAAUCUUCCGCAAUGGGCGAAAGCCUGACGGAGCAACGCCGCGUGAGUGAUGAAGGCCUUCGGAUCGUAAAACUCUGUUAUUAGGGAAGAACAUAUGUGUAAGUAACUGUGCACAUCUUGACGGUAACUAAUCAGAAAGCCACGGCUAACUACGUG